Molecule: long non-coding RNA, 1271 nt
Organism: Apodemus sylvaticus (European woodmouse)
Lineage: Eukaryota; Metazoa; Chordata; Mammalia; Rodentia; Muridae
Exons: 3
Source: RefSeq, a predicted model, not a curated record
GGGAGAGCCCCUGAGAGGCUAUUGGUGAAAGCAGCAAGCAGCAGAAGUGCCCAGCAUUUGGAGUUGCCGGUUCCAUGGGAUGACCUCCAAGAACAGCAACAGCCUUGGAGUGGACCCGGCCAGAGCCUAGAAUCCAACCAGUGUGUGUCCGAAAGUGAUGUGACCCAAGAGCCUUGGAGGAUCCCAGAAGAAUGUGUAACUGGAGGUUCGUCUCUGGUGCUCCUAGAGCCUGCGAAGGAUUGUGUUGGCGGCUUAGCCAAACACUGCCGAAAGGUCCACGGACCCAAGCCUUCUGAUUACUGACAGUUUCCAGCGGAGCAUUCCACUCGGCAUGCACAAGCCCCGAACUGUCAUGUUCUAGGGGGACAGAGUGACGUCAUCACGAGUCUUAUUUCACUGAAGAAAAUGUUAACUUGUGUUAUGUUGCUUUUCAAAACCGUUUUUGUUUUGUAUGCUAUCAAUUAACUCAUAAGGUAUCCAUUACUCCUUACAUUGUUUUGGGAGACUUGCUUUGGAAACGUGUGAACAUUCCAAGAUCAUGAUGCCCAGGGGCUCAGGAUGGCCGGGCCUGCAGACCCCUGGCGAGUUUCCUGAGCAGCAGGCAAGCCUGCCAGCCAGAUGGGAAACACUCGCUCUGCUUUUCAUGAGCACCACCCCCGGGCCUGAAGAUUAACUGGCUUUUUUGGAAUCCAAUUUCGUUUCUACAGAGCUAUUAAAUGUGAAACAUUUUUUAAGAGAAGUGAUAAGAUUAUUUACUUAUAUCUUUGCUAUGUAAUUUUGGACCAUUAAGUGUGACCUUUUUAGAUUUUUCUACUAAAACAGUACACUGGUUUAUAUUAAGUACAAGUAGAAAAUUCAACCUCCUCCAAAAACAACACAUAAUUUUCAGACAUAUUUUACUCAUAUUAAACAUGUGGUUAUUGCAUUACUAAAAAUAUCAAAACAAUUUAUGACUUCUGGAAAAUCCACAGUGCCGGUUCUUAUUUGUUAUUUUUCUUAAGCAUCAGGGUGUGAGCUGGCAGGAGUGAACAGUCCUACUUAUUUUCCUCCAGAUAUUUUUAGUGUUUCUCAUUAUAGAAAGCUUGUCAGGAGGAAAGCAAAUUUGUUUCUUUUGAGCUGUAAAGUACCAAUCUCAUCUCCCUUUAAAGUUUUGAUUUAAAAUCAAAAGGUUUAAAAAAUCUCAUUUUAAGUGAAAUGCCUUGAAAUGCCUUAAUACGACUAUUUUUAAUCUAUUUCAUCUGUUUUCAAACUAUUAAAUCAAUUUCUACUUC